UAUGCACUUCAGAUUUGGGCGUAUGAGGUAUUUCCAGCGUUGGCUGCACUACAUUUGGUGGUGCACGAAGAUAAUGCGUACAUCCCUCGUUUACUACAUUGGAGGAGCAAUAGUUCGCCGCGUUUUUAUGAGCUAAUGAGCCAAGUAUUCGAGAACCGUGAGGUUGAUGUGCAGCUUCUCCGGCCAUCUGUAAUGGACAAGCAGCAGCCGUAUUGGACUUGGGGGGACAGUGCUGACGACACUGAAGAACUUGUUGACUUGUUGGGCGAUGACGCUGAACA
Prunus dulcis (almond) is the source of this 281-nucleotide long non-coding RNA. RefSeq lists it as uncharacterized. Lineage: Eukaryota; Viridiplantae; Streptophyta; Magnoliopsida; Rosales; Rosaceae. The transcript is spliced from 3 exons. The record is from RefSeq and is a predicted model, not a curated record.